RNAcentral lists this unclassified non-coding RNA (730 nucleotides) under Hevea brasiliensis (rubber tree). The record is from RNAcentral. Lineage: Eukaryota; Viridiplantae; Streptophyta; Magnoliopsida; Malpighiales; Euphorbiaceae.
UACCCCUCCGACCCUACUCUCCAAGUCGCUCGAAUUCGCCUCAAUCACAUCCGUGUCAACUCGUACCCGAAACUCACUCUCGACCUUUCUUUCUCUCUUGUCAUCAGGGUUCGAAACAGUGACUUCUUCUCUUUGGAGUAUGACUCUCUCGAUGUUUCUGUUGGGUACAGAGGGAGAGAGCUAGGGAUUGUGAAUUCUCAGGGAGGGAAACUUAGGGCGAGAGGAUCGUCGUAUGUGAAUGCCACGCUUGAUUUAAAUGGGCUCCAGAUUAUACGCGAUGUGUUUUACUUGAUCGAGGAUUUAACUAGGGGUGUUAUCCCUCUUGAUACCGAUACCAAGAUUAAUGGAGAGCUUGGGCUCUUGUUUUUCAAAAUUCCUAUCAAGGCAAGAUUGUCAUGUGAAGUGUAUGUGAGUGCUGACAGCCAGACUAUUGUCCGUCAAAACUGUUAUCCUGAGUGAUAUGGAGGCCAUAUCAUUAUCCUUGAGACUCUGGCAGAACGUAUAGAAGCGGAAGGACAUAAAGCUGCGUGCUGGGGGUAAAUAUUUUGACGUUUCCAGUAGCCCUUUGAGUAACUAUACUAAUUGUUCCAUCCGUUAAUUGCUUGUCCCAUCUGCGCAAAGGAUUCAUUUACCAAGGAACAACAGUAUCUAUGUAUUUUAACCAAACUUUUAAAUGAGUAUAACUUUCAUACAAGAAGUUAGGUUAAAAUACAUAGAUACUGUUGUUCCU